Molecule: long non-coding RNA, 480 nt
Filed under: Mytilus galloprovincialis (Mediterranean mussel)
Lineage: Eukaryota; Metazoa; Mollusca; Bivalvia; Mytilida; Mytilidae
Source: RNAcentral
CAAGUUAGUUGUUGGGGAUAUUUAAUAUUCCUAAAACAUGUUUAUUUUUUCCCUCAUUGCUGUUGAUUCAUUUAUUUUCUAGGUACAUUGAUUAAACACUCAAAUUUAAUGGUUAAUCUUAACCCAUAAAAUGACUGAUUAUGAUGGGAAUUUUGUUAAAUAUGGUAAUCCACUAAACAAUUUUAGUGUGCCUGUUGCAAGUCAGGAGCCAAUUUCCAAUGUCAGAUGGAGGGAGGGUUUAGUUUCUGAAACGGAAUUAACUUCUUUUUUACGUGAAUCGCCACUGUUUUCUUCCUUGUCUUUCGGUCUGUGGUUGAUAGAUGUCUCAUUUGCAGUUAUACCACAUGUAUUUAUUUUUAUUUAUUUGUGCACCUCACAAUCACUUAAAUUUAUUCUUUGAAUAAAGUUGACCUGUGACAAGAAACUGAGACAACAACACAAAAAUUUAAUAAAUGAUCAUAUAUAUAUAUAUAUAUAUAU